CCUACGGGAGGCAGCAGUGGGGAAUAUUGCACAAUGGGGGCAACCCUGAUGCAGCGACGCCGCGUGUGUGAGGAAGUCCUUCGGUUUGUAAAGCACUAUCAGCAGGGAAGAAAAUGACGGUACCAAUAUAAGAAGCCACUGCUAACUACGUGCCAGCAGCCGCGGUAAUACGUAGGGUGCAAGCGUUCUCCGGAUUUACUGGUUGUAAAGGUAGCGUAGGCGGUUAAUCAAGUCAGAAGUGAAAACCCAGGGCUUAACCUGGGGACUGCUUAUGAAACUGAGUGGCUAGAGUGCAGGAGAGGUAGGCGGAAUUCCAGGUGUAGCGGUGAAAUGCGUAGAUAUUAGGAGGAACACCAGUGGCGAAGGCGGCUUACUGGACUGAAACUGACGUUGAGGCGCGAAAGCGUGGGGAGCAAACAGGAUUAGAUACCCUUGUAGUC
This 440-nucleotide ribosomal RNA is filed under the name uncultured bacterium. Its description in RNAcentral is "partial 16S ribosomal RNA". It matches the Rfam family "Bacterial small subunit ribosomal RNA", at positions 338 to 795 of the family's 1533-position model. The record is from RNAcentral.